Molecule: ribosomal RNA, 459 nt
Filed under: uncultured bacterium
Lineage: Bacteria
Description: partial 16S ribosomal RNA
Rfam family: Bacterial small subunit ribosomal RNA
Source: RNAcentral
CCUACGGGGGGCAGCAGUCGAGAAUCAUUCACAAUGGGGGAAACCCUGAUGGUGCGACGCCGCGUGGGGGACGAAGGUGCCAAGCAUUGUAAACUUCUUUUGUCAAGGGACAAAAUCAGGCUCGAGAGCCUGACCGAGGGUACUUGAAGAAAAAGCAUCGGCUAACUCCGUGCCAGCAGCCGCGGUAAUACGGAGGAUGCGAGCGUUAUCCGGAUUUAUUGGGUUUAAAGGGUGCGUAGGCGGACUGUUAAGUCAGCGGUAAAAGCCCGGGGCUCAACCCCGGCGAGCCGUUGAAACUGGCUGUCUUGAGAUGUCGAGAGGUAUGCGGAAUGCGCAGUGUAGCGGUGAAAUGCUUAGAUAUUGCGCAGAACUCCGAUUGCGAAGGCAGCAUACCGGCGGCGAUCUGACGCUGAGGCACGAAAGCGUGGGUAUCGAACAGGAUUAGAUACCCCAGUAGUC